RNAcentral lists this ribosomal RNA (496 nucleotides) under uncultured bacterium. RNAcentral describes it as "partial 16S ribosomal RNA". It matches the Rfam family "Bacterial small subunit ribosomal RNA", at positions 29 to 507 of the family's 1533-position model. The record is from RNAcentral.
AUGUACGCUGGCGGCGUGCCUAAUCCAUGCAAGUCGAGCGAACAGACGAGGAGCUUGCUCCUCUGACGUUAGCGGCGGACGGGUGAGUAACACGUGGAUAACCUACCUAUAAGACUGGGAUAACUUCGGGAAACCGGAGCUAAUACCGGAUAAUAUAUUGAACCGCAUGGUUCAAUAGUGAAAGACGGUUUUGCUGUCACUUAUAGAUGGAUCCGCGCCGCAUUAGCUAGUUGGUAAGGUAACGGCUUACCAAGGCAACGAUGCGUAGCCGACCUGAGAGGGGGAUCGGCCACACUGGAACUGAGACACGGUCCAGACUCCUACGGGAGGCAGCAGUAGGGAAUCUUCCGCAAUGGGCGAAAGCUUGACGGAGCAACGCCGCGUGAGUGAUGAAGGUCUUCGGAUCGUAAAACUCUGUUAUUAGGGAAGAACAAAUGUGUAAGUAACUAUGCACGUCUUGACGGUACCUAAUCAGAAAGCCACGGCUAACUACGUG